GUGUCAGCCGCCGCGGUAAUACGGAGGGUGCAAGCGUUAAUCGGAAUUACUGGGCGUAAAGCGCACGCAGGCGGUUUGUUAAGCUAGAUGUGAAAGCCCCGGGCUCAACCUGGGAUGGUCAUUUAGAACUGGCAGACUAGAGUCUUGGAGAGGGGAGUGGAAUUCCAGGUGUAGCGGUGAAAUGCGUAGAUAUCUGGAGGAACAUCAGUGGCGAAGGCGACUCCCUGGCCAAAGACUGACGCUCAUGUGCGAAAGUGUGGGUAGCGAACAGGAUUAGAUACC
This 282-nucleotide ribosomal RNA is filed under the name uncultured prokaryote. Its description in RNAcentral is "partial 16S ribosomal RNA". It matches the Rfam family "Bacterial small subunit ribosomal RNA", at positions 505 to 786 of the family's 1533-position model. The record is from RNAcentral.